AGCCUGAACGCUGGCGGCGUGGCUAAGACAUGCAAGUCGCACGGAUGUAGCAAUACAUCAGUGGCGCACGGGUGAGUAAUUUAUCGCUAAUGUACCCUUAAGCCAGGGAUAGCUGCCCGAAAGGGCAGGUAAUACCUGAUGAAAUAUCCUUUUCGCAUGAUGAGGAUCUCAAAGCAGCAAUGCACUUUUGGAGCAGGCGAUAUCGUAUCAGCUAGUUGGUGAGGUAACGGCUCACCAAGGCGAUGACGCGUAGCUGGUCUGAGAGGACGGCCAGCCACAUCUGGACUGAGACACUGCCCGGACUCCUACGGGGGGGCUGCAGUAACGAAUCUUCCGCAAUGCACGAAAGUGUGACGGAGCGACGCCGCGUGUAGGACGAAGUCCUUCGGAUGUAAACUACUGUCAGGGAAAGAAAGUUACUGAUCUACCCAACGAAGGAAGAAGGCGGCUAACUACUGUGCCAGCAGCCGUA
This 472-nucleotide ribosomal RNA is filed under the name uncultured soil bacterium. RNAcentral's name for it is "bacterial SSU rRNA". It matches the Rfam family "Bacterial small subunit ribosomal RNA", at positions 26 to 519 of the family's 1533-position model. The record is from RNAcentral.